RNAcentral lists this ribosomal RNA (506 nucleotides) under uncultured bacterium. Its description in RNAcentral is "partial 16S ribosomal RNA". It matches the Rfam family "Bacterial small subunit ribosomal RNA", at positions 29 to 523 of the family's 1533-position model. The record is from RNAcentral.
AGUGAACGCUGGCGGUAGGCCUAACACAUGCAAGUCGAACGGCAGCACAGGAGAGCUUGCUCUCUGGGUGGCGAGUGGCGGACGGGUGAGGAAUACAUCGGAAUCUACUCUGUCGUGGGGGAUAACGUAGGGAAACUUACGCUAAUACCGCAUACGACCUACGGGUGAAAGCAGGGGACCUUCGGGCCUUGCGCGAUUGAAUGAGCCGAUGUCGGAUUAGCUAGUUGGCGGGGUAAAGGCCCACCAGGGCGACGAUCCGUAGCUGGUCUGUGAGGAUGAUCAGCCACACUGGAACUGAGACACGGUCCAGACUCCUACGGGAGGCAGCAGUGGGGAAUAUUGGACAAUGGGCGCAAGCCUGAUCCAGCCAUACCGCGUGGGUGAAGAAGGCCUUCGGGUUGUAAAGCCCUUUUGUUGGGAAAGAAAUCCAGCUGGCUAAUACCCGGUUGGGAUGACGGUACCCAAAGAAUAAGCACCGGCUAACUUCGUGCCAGCAGCCGCAGUAA